Molecule: long non-coding RNA, 486 nt
Organism: Ornithodoros turicata
Lineage: Eukaryota; Metazoa; Arthropoda; Arachnida; Ixodida; Argasidae
Exons: 3
Source: RefSeq, a predicted model, not a curated record
UCGAGGCGCCGACCCGUUUGACCGUUGUGCAGCUGGCGUCUAUGCGGGCAGGCGGUCAUUUCGUUUCGUGGAUUUGGAAGAUGUUCGAGCCACAGACGAACGCCGGAAUGAAAGGUCCCAGGAUCAAGGGCCUGAUGAAGGUCAUCUAGGAAAGAGACCAGUUGGAUUUCGCAAGAGAAAUGUUUCCUAAAUGCAUUUGACUAUGGGAAUGCUAAUUAAAGAAAUUGGGCGAUAGCUACUUGCACAGUGUGUAUCACCAUAUUUAAACAAGAGAACCACCUUCACGACAGACCAAUCAUCAGGAAUGCAACCAGACUCUAGCGACUGCAUAAAAAUGUUAGUUAGAAAUAAUGCCGAACAUGUGGCCGUGUUUUUCAAAAACUUUGUAUUAAAAUCAUCAUGCCCAGACCUAGCAGAUAGUUUGAGAGUAUCAACUAUCUUAAUAUUGACGUAGGUAGCAAUUAGUAUAGGAUCCAUAAUAAUGUA